UCCUGCUCUUUUUUCUCAGCCAGUAGCAAUAUCACUGGUGAUGUCGAUCUUAGCAGGAGCUUCUAUUUUGUUUCUCUCUUCCCCAUCUACGCUCGCAUCUCUUGCUCAGUUCUGCUGCUGAUGUUGAUGCUGCUUCUGAGCGAGAAGCACCUUUUCUGAAUCAGACGAAAAGAGCCUGUCGCCAGGUCGAGAAGCAGCGGUGACGACACCUAGCUGAUGCUCUCACCACCAUAGCUGAUGCCAACAUCACUAUUCGUGCUAGAUAAAGGACUAAAAUGGACUAAUGGGCAAUAAACACUCCCCUGCGCUUUCAGCUCAGGACUGACUGCUGUCAAACUGUCGACGGCAGCGGCCAGGUUGACAAAGGUUGCCCUUUGUAAUGCAACCCAAUUACCACUGGAUCACUGUGAUUACGUACGCCUAAAUAAGGUGUAUACGUGCGUGUUUGUUGAUAUCUAACAGACUCUUUAACAUAGGCUGUCUCCGUCUACCAAUAUGAUAAGGUGUGCGUAUGUAACAGCAACACCGUGAGCGGCAUGUUCCAGUUCAGUGUGAUAAAGCUUCACCCUGCUUCCAAUGAUGCCUACUUUUGUUGUCACUUACUCUAUGAAUUCUGUGCCUUCUGCCCUACCGUUGAUUAGGCUAUUGCGAGCGGAUGCAUUGGAUACUGGUUCGGAGCAAAAUAGGAACGCAAAACUCUUUAUGCAGUACGUAUCGUUCAACACGAUCGUACUUUUGUCAGAUUCGAGUGACAACUGCGUGUGAACUCGACAGUGGUUGUGUCCUUGACUAUCGCUCGGUUGUCGAGUGUUAGCAGUUAGUAACAGGAAUUCAAGCACCGUAAGCAAUGCCAUCCCGAAUCCACUGUCCUAGUAUGGCCGUUUUCUUAGUUCGAGUGAAAGGGGAGACCCCAAGUACUCGCUCUCUGUCUUGAAACGUUUAUUAGUGGCGGCCCGUAUGCGUCUAAGUGGUGCGUUUCUGCGUAACUAAAGCAGAAAAUGUAUCUAGCAUUUGAAAGAAGGAGACAAUAACCCUUUCAUCUUCCAGUCCUUGGAAGCGGCCGGCUUGAGGGCAGCGUUCUGAAAUGCCGCCCAUUCUUCGGCAGUACGCAUAAAGCGCAGGACAGGAUUAUGCACAUUGCGUCAUCAAGGUCCGUAGCGUGCUAAUCAGUUGAUGGCAACAAACGUCUGUGUAUGCUGUAUAAUUAGAAACUUUGAGCCCUACUAUCCACCAAUGUCUACAAUACUGUGAACUCCAGUAACACGGUUUAGUACAAGGAUCCGAUCUAAAAAUCAUAUCCAUAUGGCUGGACACAAUUACCGUACUUUUGGGAUCAGUAACAAAUAGUAUACGAGCUAUAGUAAAAUGAUAAAGAGUGACCACAAAAAGACGCAAUCGUCCGUAGCUGAGCCAUCUCGGUUUGAGCUCUGGUGGAGAAGGAUAGGUUGAAAACUGGCCAACGCAGACUGUUGUGAUGCCCUGCGAAGGCUGCGCCCGAAAACGAUGUGCGGCUGGUUAGUCCUUACUUUGGUCAGGCGAUUUCUUCUACAUAAGUUUCUCAUUCUGUUAAUGGUUAACGCAACGUUUAUGGCCAGUGAUGUCCUAGCUAGAAGGGCUUUCGGCGACGAUUUGGCUUUAUGGAUCGAUAAACGUCAGCUGCGCGAAUUUCAUAGCCCAUUACAGAUGGAUAUCUUUGUGAUAAGCGACGGACAGGUCGAAGCGUUGAUCCAGGAACCGACCUUCGAGCGCUAUCUGCCAGCGAUACCGGAUCACGUAAACACAGUAAACCUGUCGUGGCGUGCCGGUGACAAAAAGUCAUACACGUACGAGUUUCUCAAGCUGGAAUCGACAAAUAGCGGUGUCCUCAAAACACCAAAGCUUUCGAUUCCGCCCAGGGGACGAGUGCCCAAAAAAACCAAAGUGUUUCAGAUCUCGCUUGAAUGUGUAGCAAAUAUAUCGGGAACGGCAGUCCUAAAUGUCGCCUUCUCGCUCAGUCCAGAGGGAAACGGCCCGAUUCAGGGAAUGCCUAUCAGGUUCCGUUUGCGAAAGCAAUGCGUCAGCAACGUUCCGGAACCUGAGUGUGAAGAAAAGUGCAAAAAUGGACGAUGUGAUUCACGGCAAGUGUGUCACUGUCCAGUGGACUAUAUGGGUCGAUUUUGUGAAAUACCCUUUUGUCAUCCACCCUGCCAACACGGUGGAACUUGUGUCGCGCCCGGUGAAUGCGACUGCCCUAUCGGUUACCAGGGUCCACAAUGCGAAGGAGGGAUCUGUGCGGACCGUUGUCUCAACGGCGGUAAAUGUAUACAAAAGGACGUGUGUCAAUGCGGUCGGGGAUAUUACGGUCCGCGGUGCCAGUUCAGCAAAUGUUCGAUUCCGUGCCUUAACGGCGGCCGUUGUGAUGGAGUGAACAGUUGUACUUGCAGGAAGCACUUUCGAGGUAAACAGUGCGAAAUCGAAAUCCCCGGACUGCGGAAGCGGAGUAAGUGAUCAAAUGCUGUACGCUUACCUUUUUUUUUUACUAAGAUUCGAUAGGACGAUAAUUGAAAUGAUUUACUGUUUUCAACGCUCUCGCCUUGAAAAUUCGCAUAGCCAAAUAAUAGUAGUUAUUCAUUAAACAUUAAGAUGACGCCUGUUUCAUAUAUCGAUUUGUUUUGAGCGAUUUUUAUCAUUAUUAUCAUAACUAUGGUAAUUUAGCAAUUGAAUAAUGCCUUAGUAAGUUAGUGUAAAUAAAAACAACAAAGACACAACAAAAAGAACUUAGUUGAAGUGCAGAAGUUAUCACUGUUACAAAUUAAAACUCUAAUUGAUAUCACUAAACAAGGAUGUAUAUUAAAAUUAUUUAUUAUUUAAAGUUGACUUUUCACUUUGCACGUUAAUAAAUGGGAAUAAAAUGGGAAUGAUUGGUAUUUCGCUCGUAUUAUAUUAUUGUUCCGAUAAUUGUUUAUAUUAUAUUACAUUUUAUAACCAAUUCACUUUCCUCUCAGAGUUGCACGUUAUCUACGACUACCUGUAAUGCUAUCCACAAAUUUGACUACUUCAACUACUACCAACGCAACGUCAAAAGAUACGAAAAUGAAAUAGAAACCUAAAGCCCAUUAAAGAUAACAAACGAAAAAGGAAACCGGAAGUGUAUGUAUAGUCGGUUAAAUGCUACAUGAAUAAAGAUAAGGCAAAGUGGUGCAACCAGCGUAUUUAUGUAAAUAAUAGAAUUACUGAAAAUAUAUGCUAGAAAAACAAAUCUUAUUUAUUGUUGAUAGCUGUGCAGAACAGAGGAUACGAAAAUCAAUAC
Molecule: non-coding RNA, 3289 nt
Organism: Varroa destructor (honeybee mite)
Lineage: Eukaryota; Metazoa; Arthropoda; Arachnida; Mesostigmata; Varroidae
Source: RefSeq, a predicted model, not a curated record